CUCUCUCCCCACAGAGAUUCCCCUGGGACCAGUGAGCUCUCGUAAGAGCAGAUUCUCAAUAAACCUGCCUUUAAUAUAAUCUAAUCUGGCUUGGAUCAGCUCAUUUUACUGGCAGAGAACCUAUCAAUAAACAAAUGUCAGAAUGAGUCAGUUGGCUUGAUCCUUUCCUGAAAACCUCAGAGAGAACACAACAGUCUUCUUACUUGCCAGGCUAGAACCCUAAUUAAACUCACUACAGCACUAAGUCCAAAGAGAAUGGAAAUUCAGAAUUUAAAGAAUGAGGGAAUGCAUUAUUUAUAACUUGAGAAGCCAAAAUAGUAAAUUCUUCUCUAAAAUUUUAAAGAUUGGAAAGUUCCCAUUCUUAUCUAGGAGGUAUUAAUAGUUGAUCAGGAUUUUUAUAAAGAUGGCCUGUAUGUAUUUUUAAAUUUUUAGAAACCGACCUCGUCAGACCACUAAGAUAGUAAUUUCACACUCCACAUGACUGUAACUGAAUGAAAGAUUGGUUAAAUGCCCAUUUUACUAAUUUCUAAUUACUAAGAUCUUUAAGGCUCAAAAAUUCCUGAGACCUAGGCCUGGGGAAGAGGGGAGAUGCAAUCAUUGAUUUACCUUGACUUAGUUCGACACACUGUUUUUCAUUCCACAGAUAGGUAUUCUCAUCUUGUAUUUAUAUGUUCUUAAGUUCUCAUCUUAUAUUCACAUUUUUUUUCCUGUUCUGGCCAUAGAUUGGUCAAUUUAAAUAAAUUCUAGUGCUAAAACCCAAAGAGAUAACUUUUGUCCUGGUCUGGCUUCUCCAACUGCAGUCUAGGAGGCUGGAUUGCAAGGUAAACACACACGUAAAAAGCGCACACAAUCUGUAAAGUAAGGGUCUCCUAGAAGGUAGAUUGACUGGUUGACAUGACAGUCCAUUAGGCUGUGUGUGCUGUAACCCCAACACUAGAGAAGCUGAAGCAGGAUAAUUUUGAUCUCUAUGAUAGUACAGGUUAAAAUGAAAGGCUUUUUUUUUUUAAUUUGGUUUUUCGAGACAGGGUUUCUCUGUGCAGCCCUGGCUGUCCUGGAACUCACUCUGUAGACCAGGCUGGCCUUGAUCUCAGAAAUCCGCCUGCCUCUACCUCCCAAGUGCUGGGAUUAAAGGUGUGUGCCACCACACCCAGCGAAAGGCUUUUUUAAUAGCCUGGAAAGCAGUAACAAUAACAGCAGCCACAAAAGGAAGAUGCCAUUGCUGUUGCUGUCGAUUGUUGCAGCUUAUUUCUCUUUCCUUCUUGCUUUUGUUUUGUUCAUGACAUUUUUUAUCAGACACAUAAUCACUGACACUAACCUUGCUGAUCUUGUCUAUCCCUGGUCUAUGCUGACCUUGACCUAUUCUCGAUUUUGACGGGAUAGUGUUAUUACAUUAGUGUGCAUCAUACUAGUUUCCUUUACCUUUUUGUGAAAUAGAUCAUAUUCUAACUCAUCUGCAAUGUACCAAUAGACAAACACUAGGAGAGCCUGUCAUGUUGUCCACAUGAUGUGUCAAGAAGAAUGUGAUAUACUAAAUUAUAUGUCUGAGAAAGAUUGAGAAGCCAGUAACAUACUCUUUUAGCUCCUGUAUUGCUUGGGCCAAGAUGAGGAUUCUGUUUUUAGUUCCUGUGCAUGUCAUCACAUGCUCCCAUCUCUUUUUCUACUUUUGCCAUCCUUAGGAAAAAUGCAUUUGAGAGAUGGGAGUAGGUGGGAGAUGGUGUUUGGGUCACGUUAGAGGUUGUUAUGAGUAGCUACAUAGCCAUACCACGAAGAUUAAGUAUUCAGCUCUACUCCUCUGCAACAUCUUGAUACUGAAAUUAUGAAAAUUUAUCCAUUCUUCAACCCUAAGCCAUUAGAAGAGGAAGAAUAACUGGACUCAAGAGCCUUUCAUCUCUCAAGUAUAAAUGGAGUUAGGGCUACGGAGAACAACAGCUUUUUAUUUUCAUGGUAUUUCUACAAAACAUUUCUUUUCUCCUUUAAAGGUAACUGAUAUAAAAUAAUUUUCUCUGUUGAUGAGUGGGGGAUAGGUAAUGAGAAUGGAAAAACUCUCAUGGCACACGUGCAAUGUUAUCACACUGAAUGUCAAGUCUGUGAGUAGAUUCCACUCACCCAGGGUAGCCUUGACCACGGCUUAGUAGUACAUGGCACUAUGUGGCUCUUCUAUAUGAUAACUCCAGUUCAGAAAGCAGAGGUGAUUAUACAUACUGGGAUUUUGUUGGUUUCAUUUUUGCUUUUGUUGUUGUCUCAAAAGUCAUGGAAGACAGCAUUUUGGAAGUGUUUCUAACAAGCAUGAUCAAGAAGAAUGCAGGUGGGCAUUUAGUUUACAUAUAGUUUCCAGUUGUUGGUAGCAUCUUGUUGGGUAAAAUACACACUCCUACCGUUUCAAUGGCAGGUGGCUCUAACUUCACCACAUUUUGAUUUACAUGAAAGGCUUUCCCAGAAUCAGAUGAGACAGAGAAUAUAUUUUGUAUUUAGACAUAAAGCCUAGGAGGAGAAUGGAAGAAAAAAAAUCAAUAUUUGGUAAUAGAACUCUUGGGCUGAUUAUUAAAUAAAACUGGGGGAAAUGUCAUAAAACUACAUCACUAGAUUGUAAAGCUUCCGAUGAAAAAUGUCCAAUGCCAUCAAAACAGGCUGCAACAUAUCCUUCUCUGAAGUCUUCCUGAAACAACAACUUGCUCUUUUUUUUCUUAGAGUUUUCCAAGAAAACUCUACUGGUCCUAGAAAUUAUGAUAUUUAAGCCAUUCUUUGUAAAACCUAAACAUGAAUACUGAAGUUUUUUUUCUUUAAGUCUUUAAAUAUCAGUAUAGAGGUAUGAAUGACAUGUCCUAACACAGUGAAUUUAGUUCCUUUUAGCAUAUUGAUAGUUUUAGCAUGUAAUAUUACUGCAUUUGGGUCACUUUAAAAAGAACCUUGUACCAGAUCCCAGCUCCUCAUUUUCUCCUUACCCCAUUGCCUGAAAAUCUUAAAUCUAUUUUCAUAAAUAGGUUUACCCAUUGCAGGAUUUUAUUAUUCUUUGAAUUGUGUGAUAUGGGACUCAGUUCAUAUGGGCUGUUACAAAAUAUAAAUGUUAUGCCUUAUAAGCUAAAUGAAGUAACUUCUCACCAUUCUAGGGACUGGGAAGUCGAAGAUCAAGACACCAAGAUCUGGUGCCAAGGCCUUUGCUUCCUCCCUUACAAAUGGACUCUCUCUACAGGUCAAAAAGGACUGAGGUCUUGAGACUCUCUUGCACGGUCCCCACCACCUAAUCAUAGUCAAAUAACAUUUCAAAUGGUAAAUUUGGCAAGUGUUCUAGUUUGCUUUCUAUUGUUGUGGCAAACACUAUGACUUUAAAAAUUAAUUGAGAGGAAAGGGUUUAUUUGAUUUGUACAUUAUAGUCUAUCACCAAGAGAAGUUAAGGCAAGAACUCAAGAUAGGAAGCUAGAGGCAGGAACUGAAGCAGAGACCAUGAAGGGGUGCUGCUCAUUGGCUUGCUCCUCACGGCUUGCUCAGCCUGCUUUCCUAUGGCACUCAGGACCACCAGUCCAGGGUUGGUCCUAUCCACAAUAGGGUGGUUGUGCUCACAUCAAUCACCAAUCAAGAAAGUGCCACUAUGGAUUUGCUAACAGGACAAUUGAUGGAGGAAUUAAUCCAUUGUGGAUUUUUCCUCUUAGAUGACUAUUAUUUCUGUCAAAUUGAUAAAACUAACAAACAGGUGGUAAAGCAAUUCCAAUUCAGACCAAUUCUUUAUGUCAGACUUCUUCCAAUAAAUGCUUUAUAUUCAAUUUUAUUAAUGUAUCAGCACUCAGCUACUUUUCAUGGCUAAAUGAUAUCUCUACCUGACUACAUUUUAUUUGUUUAUUCACUCAAUACUUGGUAGGAAUUUAUGUUGCCUGAUCUUUGGCUGCUAUGAGCAAUGGUAUACAAGUUGUAGUGUGCAUGUGUGUUUGUGUUUUAAGUUCAUUGGGGAAUAUUCCCAGGACUGGAAUUGCUGAGUGAUAUGGUAGAUGUGUACUUAACAUUUUAGGAAUGGUACAUCUGUUUUUCCAAAUGACUCUAUCAGUUUUCAUUCCAUGUGAUGGUAAGUCUUUAAUUCUCAAUUGCUGCAACCUGAGAAGAAAGCCUCAGGUGAGAAAUUGUGCAGUGCUGGUUAUAUAUUUUAAAAUGUUUAUUUAAACACUUUGCUGAUUUCAAAAAUUAUUUUUUAAAUGCAUAGUAUAACUAUAACAUCUGUAUUCAUAAAUCAAGAGACAUGAUUUGCAAAUGUUCUCUCUGAUUCCAUUUCACUCUCUUGGUGGUGUCUGUUAAAACACGGAGGUUUUAAAUUUUGAUGAAAUUUAUUUUAUUUCUUUCUUGUCUCUGACUUUUAGUGGUGCAUCUAAGAAAACAUGGCCUAGUUGAAGGCCACAAAAAUUUUACUCCCAGAAUAAAUUUUCUGUCUAGGAGGUUCAGUUCCAGCUCUGACAUCUAGCCUAUGGUCUGUUUUGAGUGACAGUUUCCUUUGGGUGAGAUAUCAAUUCAACAUCAUUCCUUUACCUGAGAAUAUCAAGCUGUCCCAGCAUCGUUUGUUGAAAAGAUUACUCUUCUUCUCAGAAUGAGUUGGCACCUUUGCUGAAAAUCAGUUACCAGUGACAAUGCAUCUUCUGGAGACAUGUAUCAGAACAGUAUCUGCAGCAUCCCUUCUCUUUCACUACAUAUUGAACUGCUCCCCACGGAUCUUCACAUGCCCCUUGCCGCUUACAUCCUCCCUGGCAUUGGUUUUUGUUGACUUCUUCAUUUUUACCAUUCUGACUCUGGUGCUCACUGCCAACAGGACUUGGAACUUGCUUAUCUCAGACCCCAUUUAUCCUCCUCCUAGACUGGCAGGCAGCUGAAUCUGAUGGCAUGGAGGGAAGAGGUGGACUGUGAACCCUAUCAGUUCCAGACCUCUCCCAGUCCUUCCCAAGCUGGUGUAUCAGAGGCCAAGGCAUCUGGACGCUCUGAGAGGAGAGAUGAAACCCAGAACCACACGUCAUGAACACGAGCAAAGCGAUGAGUAGAUCUAGAGUUGCUUCGCUUCUUCGUGACAUAAUAUCACACAUGGAAGAAAUCAAUGGCUAAACGAAUGAAAAACAAAGCUGUGCUGUUGUUAUUCUUGUGCCUUCUGAGCCACUUGGGAAAGGGGCUACUAGGACAAGGUGAGGAAAGAGUCACCAACAACUCAGAUCAAGCCAUGAGCAGAGCAGCGAGUCUCAAGCCUGUAGGGACCUUCUCAUCAUGCCAGCCUGGCCGCACCUGCCUCAGGUGAGCCCUCAAUCUCAACCUCCAAUAGGUGAUCUCCUGAGCUUUCUCAUUGAGUGCAAAAGCC
Mus musculus (house mouse) is the source of this 5320-nucleotide long non-coding RNA. RefSeq annotates it as predicted gene, 34327. NCBI's taxonomy places the organism in Eukaryota, Metazoa, Chordata, Mammalia, Rodentia, Muridae. The transcript is spliced from 5 exons. The record is from RefSeq and is a predicted model, not a curated record.